This 428-nucleotide ribosomal RNA is filed under the name uncultured bacterium. RNAcentral describes it as "bacterial SSU rRNA". It matches the Rfam family "Bacterial small subunit ribosomal RNA", at positions 8 to 413 of the family's 1533-position model. The record is from RNAcentral.
AGAGUUUGAUCCUGGCUCAGGACGAACGCUGGCGGCGUGCCUAACACAUGCAAGUCGAACGGAGAAUUUCAAUAAGCUUGCUUAGCGAAAUUUUUAGUGGCGGACGGGUGAGUAACGCGUGGGUAACCUACCCAUAAACCCGGGACAACCCUUGGAAACGAGGGCUAAUACCGGAUAAUCUUAAGAAGUGGCAUCACUUUUUAAGAAAAGGUGGCCUCUGAAGAUGCUACCGAUUAUGGAUGGACCCGCGUCUGAUUAGCUAGUUGGUGGGGUAAAGGCCUACCAAGGCGACGAUCAGUAGCCGGCCUGAGAGGGUGAACGGCCACACUGGGACUGAGACACGGCCCAGACUCCUACGGGAGGCAGCAGUGGGGAAUCUUCCGCAAUGGACGAAAGUCUGACGGAGCAACGCCGCGUGUAUGAUGAAG